Molecule: regulatory RNA element, 118 nt
Organism: Clostridium acetobutylicum ATCC 824
Lineage: Bacteria; Bacillati; Bacillota; Clostridia; Eubacteriales; Clostridiaceae
Rfam family: Ribosomal protein L20 leader
About the family: This family is a putative r-protein leader autoregulatory structure found in B. subtilis and other low-GC Gram-positive bacteria.
Source: Rfam
GUAUUGAAGAAGAAACUUGCCGUUUCUCACCUUACAGCAAAGCUAGUAAGGUUAAAGAUAUGCAGCUUAUUUUGCUAUGUAUAUUUGAGACGGUGAAUAACCGUCUUUUUUUAUUAUA